Molecule: ribosomal RNA, 496 nt
Filed under: uncultured bacterium
Lineage: Bacteria
Description: partial 16S ribosomal RNA
Rfam family: Bacterial small subunit ribosomal RNA
Source: RNAcentral
GACGAACGCUGGCGGCGUGCCUAAUACAUGCAAGUUGAGCGCUGAAGGUUGGUACUUGUACCAACUGGAUGAGCAGCGAACGGGUGAGUAACGCGUGGGGAAUCUGCCUUUGAGCGGGGGACAACAUUUGGAAACGAAUGCUAAUACCGCAUAAAAACUUUAAACACAAGUUCUAAGUUUGAAAGAUGCAAUUGCAUCACUCAAAGAUGAUCCCGCGUUGUAUUAGCUAGUUGGUGAGGUAAAGGCUCACCAAGGCGAUGAUACAUAGCCGACCUGAGAGGGUGAUCGGACACAUUGGGACUGAGAAACGGCCCAAACUCCUACGGGAGGCAGCAGGAGGGAAUUUUGGGCAAUGGGCGAAAGCCUGACGGAGCAACGCCGCGGGAGUGAAGAAGGUGUUCGGAUCGUAAAACUCUGUUGUUAGGGAAGAACAUUGGUGGAAGUAAAAAGCCAAAAAAGUACGGGAAAUAAUCAGAAAGGGACGGGUAAACACGUG